GCGGGCCGCGCGCGGCGGGCGGGGAGAGCGGGCGCGGGGCCGCGGUCAACACUGAGCGCCGCGCCGUGGGCCGAGUGGGGCGGGGAGACCCAGCCCUCGGCGCGCACGGAGCCUGGCCGGUGCUGCAGCGCCGCCGAGUGCGGCCUCGGGGGCGGCGGCCGCGGGAGGGACCCGGAGAGCUGCUUCCCCUAGUCAGGCCGCGGCGUGGGAGGGCGAGACCCCGAGCAAACUUUCUAGCGGCUUCGGCCCGAGGGUGGUGACGCCCGGGGCUGGUCGCGGCGGCUGCGGCAGCGGGCUCCAUCCCCUGGCAAAUCCCCUUCCCGGGAGCAAGUGCCUUCAGCUGGGAGUGUCUGGAGCCCUGGCCACCAGCGGAGCUGCAUCCUGUGGCCCUAUAACACUCUUCUCCAAAAGGACCUGCCAGAGACUGGGAGUGUUGACUGCUGCAAGGACCAAGGUGGGAUAGUAACAUCUUUUUGAGGGAAGAAUUGGCUUCCUUUC
RNAcentral lists this long non-coding RNA (498 nucleotides) under Homo sapiens (human). RNAcentral's name for it is "non-protein coding lnc-SGMS2-3:2". Lineage: Eukaryota; Metazoa; Chordata; Mammalia; Primates; Hominidae. The record is from RNAcentral.